GUAGGUGGCAAGCGUUGUCCGGAAUUAUAGGGCGUAAAGCGCGCGCAGGCGGUCCUUUAAGUCUGAUGUGAAAGCCCACGGGCUCAACCGUGGAGGGUCAUUGGAAACUGGGGGACUUGAGUACAGAAGAGGAAAGCGGAAUUCCAAGUGUAGCGGUGAAAUGCGUAGAGAUUUGGAGGAACACCAGUGGCGAAGGCGGCUUUCUGGUCUGUAACUGACGCUGAGGCGCGAAAGCGUGGGGAGCAAACAGGAUUAGAUACCCUGGUAGUCCACGCCGUAAACGAUGAGUGCUAAGUGUUAGGGGGUUUCCGCCCCUUAGUGCUGCAGCUAACGCAUUAAGCACUCCGCCUGGGGAGUACGGCCGCAAAGGCUGA
RNAcentral lists this ribosomal RNA (374 nucleotides) under uncultured organism. Its description in RNAcentral is "partial 16S ribosomal RNA". It matches the Rfam family "Bacterial small subunit ribosomal RNA", at positions 527 to 897 of the family's 1533-position model. The record is from RNAcentral.